AUUGAACGCUGGCGGCAGGCCUAACACAUGCAAGUCGAGCGGAUGAAGGGAGCUUGCUCCUGGAUUCAGCGGCGGACGGGUGAGUAAUGCCUAGGAAUCUGCCUGGUAGUGGGGGAUAACGUCCGGAAACGGGCGCUAAUACCGCAUACGUCCUGAGGGAGAAAGUGGGGGAUCUUCGGACCUCACGCUAUCAGAUGAGCCUAGGUCGGAUUAGCUAGUUGGUGGGGUAAAGGCCUACCAAGGCGACGAUCCGUAACUGGUCUGAGAGGAUGAUCAGUCAAACGGGGACAGGUACACGCCCCAGAGGCCUACGGGAGGAAGAAGUGGGGAAUAUUGAACAGUGGUCGCAAGCCUGAUGCAGAGCCGUCGCGUGAGGGAUGACGGCUUUCGGGUUAUAAACAUAUGUAAGCAUCGAAGAAGCGAAAGUGACGGUAGGUGAAGAGAAAGCGCCGGCUAACUACGUG
This 464-nucleotide ribosomal RNA is filed under the name uncultured bacterium. Its description in RNAcentral is "partial 16S ribosomal RNA". It matches the Rfam family "Bacterial small subunit ribosomal RNA", at positions 29 to 507 of the family's 1533-position model. The record is from RNAcentral.